This is a long non-coding RNA of Papaver somniferum (opium poppy), 591 nucleotides long. RefSeq lists it as uncharacterized. The transcript has 4 exons. The record is from RefSeq and is a predicted model, not a curated record. NCBI's taxonomy places the organism in Eukaryota, Viridiplantae, Streptophyta, Magnoliopsida, Ranunculales, Papaveraceae.
UCAUAUUUACCCUCCGACUUUGAGCACCCUUCUCACAAACUGACAAACAAAACAACAUACAUGGAAGACUAAGACGGCCGUUAUGUCAUGUUUUCUCUUCAUUCACAGAGAAUGCAAGUGAGGAUCAUCGUGGAAUUAGUGAUUCAGCCUCAAGCCAGGGAUGAUUUGGAGGCUUUUCUUGGCGAAAAGAGUAGUGAAUUUGUGUCCUGAAGAGCAAAGUUCUAGGAGAUAUGUAGCGGAUGAGGUUAAUCGUCAUGAUAUGGAAAUUUAUUUGGUGGUGAGAAGAACGUUGGAUACGGGGCAGAGAAAUUAAGAUUGUCAAGAUACCCGUGAGAUGUUCCCUCGACAUCAGUCUUCAGUGGAGAGAAUAUUAGGUUCUGCGAGUUCACAAUCUGCAAUGGCAGGUACUGUACAUCUUUUUGAUUGUCAUCAGGUUGAGAGUGUCAAAUACUAUCUCUUGUGAUUAAUCUUUCGAUUGUCAUAUAACAAUACUUAACCUCUGGUCAUUAAUAAGGCAAAUGGUGCUCAAGGUACUUGUCUGUCUACCCACGACUCAGUUCAUCAUUAAGUCUAGCAUUAGUGUUUCUCUUA